AUCAACACUUCUCCGGAUAUGGAAAAGCCAAGAGAUUGCCCAUAUCUGCUCCAGAAGGCAGCUCCUUGCAAGAAAACCCCAAAGAAGAAGUGGACAAAGUGGAUCAAAUUAAUAGCAAAAGUGUGGUUGGAGGGACCUGCACAUUUUAUUAUGAACACCCUCUCCCAUCAACAAUAUUUCCUCCAGAAAACAAAUGGUGUUAAAGUCUCAACUUGGAAAAACCAAUCAAGAAUUCAGAAAAAAAGCCACACAGAAGGUAAAAAUAAGAGAUUUUCACAAAUCCCUCUUGAAAGCAAGCGGUUCAGAAAUAUUUAUGGAAAAAUAUACUUGUUUAACAC
Molecule: long non-coding RNA, 338 nt
Organism: Pantherophis guttatus
Lineage: Eukaryota; Metazoa; Chordata; Lepidosauria; Squamata; Colubridae
Source: RefSeq, a predicted model, not a curated record